This is a non-coding RNA of Oryza glaberrima (African rice), 235 nucleotides long. The record is from Rfam. NCBI's taxonomy places the organism in Eukaryota, Viridiplantae, Streptophyta, Magnoliopsida, Poales, Poaceae.
CCUGCCACUCAUGUGUGGUAUUUGAAAUGUCUUUCUAGUUAUAUCGCGAAUCUUCUAUAUAAACCCCACAGGUGGUGCAUGGCUGUCGUCAGCUCGUGUUGUAAGGUGUUGGUUUAAGUCUCGCAACAAGCGCAACCCUCAUGUUUAGUUGCCACUAUGAGUUUGGAACCUUGAACAGACCGCCGAUGUUAAGCCGGAGGAAUGAGAGGAUGAGAGCUUUUCCUAUAAUUGUUGG